Molecule: ribosomal RNA, 429 nt
Filed under: Bacillota bacterium
Lineage: Bacteria; Bacillati; Bacillota
Description: Firmicutes bacterium partial 16S ribosomal RNA
Rfam family: Bacterial small subunit ribosomal RNA
Source: RNAcentral
UGGGGAAUAUUGGACAAUGGGCGCAAGCCUGAUCCAGCCAUGCCGCGUGAGUGAAGAAGGCCUUCGGGUUGUAAAGCUCUUUUGUCCGGAAAGAAAAGCUCUCGGUUAAUACCCGGGGGUUCUGACGGUACCGGAAGAAUAAGCACCGGCUAACUUCGUGCCAGCAGCCGCGGUAAUACGAAGGGUGCAAGCGUUACUCGGAAUUACUGGGCGUAAAGCGUGCGUAGGUGGUUCGUUAAGUCUGAUGUGAAAGCCCUGGGCUCAACCUGGGAAUGGCAUUGGAAACUGGCGAUCUAGAGUGCGGUAGAGGGCAGUGGAAUUCCCGGUGUAGCAGUGAAAUGCGUAGAGAUCGGGAGGAACAUCUGUGGCGAAGGCGACUGCCUGGACCAGCACUGACACUGAGGCACGAAAGCGUGGGGAGCAAACAGG